AGGGAAAAGACAAUGAUGUGUUUCCAAGCACAUAUCUGAUCUAUGUGUGGAUGACAGUCAAACUGAGUCUUUUCCAG
Small nucleolar RNA from Phodopus roborovskii (desert hamster), 77 nucleotides. RefSeq annotates it as small nucleolar RNA SNORD121A. The record is from RefSeq and is a predicted model, not a curated record. NCBI's taxonomy places the organism in Eukaryota, Metazoa, Chordata, Mammalia, Rodentia, Cricetidae. The transcript has a single exon.